CCUACGGGAGGCAGCAGUGGGGAAUCUUCCGCAAUGGACGAAAGUCUGACGGAGCAACGCCGCGUGAGUGAUGACGGCCUUCGGGUUGUAAAGCUCUGUUAAUCGGGACGAAAGGUCCUCUUGCGAAUAGUUAGAGGAAUUGACGGUACCGGAAUAGAAAGCCACGGCUAACUACGUGCCAGCAGCCGCGGUAAUACGUAGGUGGCAAGCGUUGUCCGGAAUUAUUGGGCGUAAAGCGCGCGCAGGCGGAUCAGUUAGUCUGUCUUAAAAGUUCGGGGCUUAACCCCGUGAUGGGAUGGAAACUGCUGAUCUAGAGUAUCGGAGAGGAAAGUGGAAUUCCUAGUGUAGCGGUGAAAUGCGUAGAUAUUAGGAAGAACACCAGUGGCGAAGGCGACUUUCUGGACGAAAACUGACGCUGAGGCGCGAAAGCCAGGGGAGCGAACGGGGAUUAGAUACCCCCGGGUAGUCCUGGCCGUAAACGAUGGGGUACUAGGGUGUAGGAGGUAUCGACCCCUUCUGUGCCGGAGUUAACCGCAAUAAGUACCCCCGCUGGGGAUACGCCGCAAGGUUGAAACUCAAAGGAAUGACCGGCNGNGAGNGCGACGACGACGACGAGGAGAGG
This 622-nucleotide ribosomal RNA is filed under the name uncultured bacterium. Its description in RNAcentral is "bacterial SSU rRNA". It matches the Rfam family "Bacterial small subunit ribosomal RNA", at positions 338 to 949 of the family's 1533-position model. The record is from RNAcentral.